UCGUAAACAUUUGUUAAGUACGUAUUUCAUUAGAAAAAUUGGUACCCGCCUCCGGGAUUCGAACAUCUGUGCAUCGCUCAACACGAAUGCACCGAACGUCUUAUCC
This 106-nucleotide non-coding RNA is filed under the name Bombyx mori (domestic silkworm). Lineage: Eukaryota; Metazoa; Arthropoda; Insecta; Lepidoptera; Bombycidae. The record is from RNAcentral.